GCUCGGAUGGCGGAAUCGGUAUACGCGCAACACUUAAAAUGUUGUGGUCUAACGGCCUUGUGGGUUCGAGUCCCACUCCGAGCA
This 84-nucleotide transfer RNA is filed under the name Spirochaetota bacterium. RNAcentral describes it as "tRNA-Leu". It matches the Rfam family "tRNA". From Rfam's summary of the family: Transfer RNA (tRNA) molecules are approximately 80 nucleotides in length. Their secondary structure includes four short double-helical elements and three loops (D, anti-codon, and T loops). Further hydrogen bonds mediate the characteristic L-shaped molecular structure. tRNAs have two regions of fundamental functional importance: the anti-codon, which is responsible for specific mRNA codon recognition, and the 3' end, to which the tRNAs corresponding amino acid is attached (by aminoacyl-tRNA synthetases). tRNAs cope with the degeneracy of the genetic code in two manners: having more than one tRNA (with a specific anti-codon) for a particular amino acid; and 'wobble' base-pairing, i.e. permitting non-standard base-pairing at the 3rd anti-codon position. The record is from RNAcentral. Lineage: Bacteria; Pseudomonadati; Spirochaetota.